RNAcentral lists this ribosomal RNA (346 nucleotides) under uncultured marine eukaryote. RNAcentral describes it as "SSU rRNA". It matches the Rfam family "Eukaryotic small subunit ribosomal RNA", at positions 1453 to 1828 of the family's 1831-position model. The record is from RNAcentral.
AUAACAGGUCUGUGAUGCCCUUAUAUGUCCUGGGCUGCACGCGUGCUACACUGAUGUAUACAACAAGUUCCUAGCCCGAGAGGGUGUGGCAAUCUCGAAUAUGCAUCGUGAUGGGGAUAGAUCUUUGCAAUUAUAGAUCUUGAACGAGGAAUUCCUAGUAAAUGUAAGUCAUCAUCUUACAUUGAUUAUGUCCCUGCCCUUUGUACACACCGCCCGUCGCUCCUACCGAUACCGGGUGAUGUGCUGAAUCUUUUGGACCGUUUAUCGGAAAGAUAAAUAAAGCUUAUCACCUAGAGGAAGGAAAAGUCGUAACAAGGUUUCCGUAGGUGAACCUGCAGAAGGAUCA